AAGAACGCUGGCGUCCGGCUUAACACAUGCAAGUCGAGGGGAAACGGCAUAUCAGCUUGCUGAUAUGGCUGUCGACCGGCGAAUGGGUGAGUAACGCGUAUCCAACCUGCCCCUAACUAGGGAAUAACCCGUUGAAAAGCGGCCUAAGUCCCUAUGACCUCAUCAGACGACAUCAGAUGAUGAGCAAAGGUUUACCGGUUAGGGAUGGGGAUGCGUCUGAUUAGGCAGUCGGCGGGGUAACGGCCCACCGAGCCGACGAUCAGUAGGGGUUCUGAGAGGAAGGUCCCCCACAUUGGAACUGAGACACGGUCCAAACUCCUACGGGAGGCAGCAGUGAGGAAUAUUGGUCAAUGGGCGUAAGCCUGAACCAGCCAAGUAGCGUGAGGGAUGACGGCCCUAUGGGUUGUAAACCUCUUUUAUAUGGGGAUAAAGUGCGUGACGUGUCAUGCAUUGCAGGUACCAUAGGAAUAAGGACCGGCUAAUUCCGUGCCAGCAGCCGCGGUAAUACGGAAGGUCCAGGCGUUAUCCGGAUUUAUUGGGUUUAAAGGGAGCGUAGGCCGCUUUUUAAGCGUGUUGUGAAAUGUUGGGGCUCAACCCCAUCACUGCAGCGCGAACUGGAAGGCUUGAGAGUGCGCAACGCAGGUGGAAUUUGUGGUGUAGCGGUGAAAUGCUUAGAUAUCACGAAGAACUCCGAUUGCGAAGGCAACUUGCGGGAGCACGACUGACGCUGAAGCUCGAAAGUGCGGGUAUCGAACAGGAUUAGAUACCCUGGUAGUCCGCACGGUAAACGAUGGAUGCCCGCUGUGUGCGUAUGACGUACGCGGCCAAGCGAAAGCAUUAAGCAUCCCACCUGGGGAGUACGCCGGCAACGC
This 872-nucleotide ribosomal RNA is filed under the name uncultured Prevotella sp. RNAcentral's name for it is "bacterial SSU rRNA". It matches the Rfam family "Bacterial small subunit ribosomal RNA", at positions 29 to 894 of the family's 1533-position model. Lineage: Bacteria; Pseudomonadati; Bacteroidota; Bacteroidia; Bacteroidales; Prevotellaceae. The record is from RNAcentral.